RNAcentral lists this ribosomal RNA (253 nucleotides) under uncultured bacterium. Its description in RNAcentral is "partial 16S ribosomal RNA". It matches the Rfam family "Bacterial small subunit ribosomal RNA", at positions 524 to 776 of the family's 1533-position model. The record is from RNAcentral.
UACGAAGGGGGCUAGCGUUGUUCGGAAUUACUGGGCGUAAAGCGCGCGCAGGCGGCCAUUCAAGUCAGGGGUGAAAGCCCAGAGCUCAACUCUGGAACUGCCCUUGAAACUGCAUGGCUUGAGUACGAGAGAGGUGAGUGGAAUUCCCAGUGUAGAGGUGAAAUUCAUAGAUAUUGGGAAGAACACCGGUGGCGAAGGCGGCUCACUGGCUCGUUACUGACGCUCAGGCGCGACAGCGUGGGGAUCAAACAGG